AGCGAAACGAUCUCGAGGAAUACGG
This 25-nucleotide non-coding RNA is filed under the name Drosophila melanogaster (fruit fly). The record is from RNAcentral. Lineage: Eukaryota; Metazoa; Arthropoda; Insecta; Diptera; Drosophilidae.